ACUAUCAUUAACUGAAUCCAUAGGUUAAUGAGGCGAACCGGGGGAACUGAAACAUCUAAGUACCCCGAGGAAAAGAAAUCAACCGAGAUUCCCCCAGUAGCGGCGAGCGAACGGGGAGGAGCCCAGAGCCUGAAUCAGUGUGUGUGUUAGUGGAAGCGUCUGGAAAGGCGCGCGAUACAGGGUGACAGCCCCGUACACAAAAAUGCACAUACUGUGAGCUCGAUGAGUAGGGCGGGACACGUGGUAUCCUGUCUGAAUAUGGGGGGACCAUCCUCCAAGGCUAAAUACUCCUGACUGACCGAUAGUGAACCAGUACCGUGAGGGAAAGGCGAAAAGAACCCCGGCGAGGGGAGUGAAAAAGAACCUGAAACCGUGUACGUACAAGCAGUGGGAGCCUCUUAAUGGGGUGACUGCGUACCUUUUGUAUAAUGGGUCAGCGACUUAUAUUCUGUAGCAAGGUUAACCGAAUAGGGGAGCCGAAGGGAAACCGAGUCUUAACUGGGCGUUAAGUUGCAGGGUAUAGACCCGAAACCCGGUGAUCUAGCCAUGGGCAGGUUGAAGGUUGGGUAACACUAACUGGAGGACCGAACCGACUAAUGUUGAAAAAUUAGCGGAUGACUUGUGGCUGGGGGUGAAAGGCCAAUCAAACCGGGAGAUAGCUGGUUCUCCCCGAAAGCUAUUUAGGUAGCGCCUCGUGAAUUCAUCUCCGGGGGUAGAGCACUGUUUCGGCAAGGGGGUCAUCCCGACUUACCAACCCGAUGCAAACUGCGAAUACCGGAGAAUGUUAUCACGGGAGACACACGGCGGGUGCUAACGUCCGUCGUGAAGAGGGAAACAACCCAGACCGCCAGCUAAGGUCCCAAAGUCAUGGUUAAGUGGGAAACGAUGUGGGAAGGCCCAGACAGCCAGGAUGUUGGCUUAGAAGCAGCCAUCAUUUAAAGAAAGCGUAAUAGCUCACUGGUCGAGUCGGCCUGCGCGGAAGAUGUAACGGGGCUAAACCAUGCACCGAAGCUGCGGCAGCGACACUAUGUGUUGUUGGGUAGGGGAGCGUUCUGUAAGCCUGUGAAGGUGUACUGUGAGGUAUGCUGGAGGUAUCAGAAGUGCGAAUGCUGACAUAAGUAACGAUAAAGCGGGUGAAAAGCCCGCUCGCCGGAAGACCAAGGGUUCCUGUCCAACGUUAAUCGGGGCAGGGUGAGUCGACCCCUAAGGCGAGGCCGAAAGGCGUAGUCGAUGGGAAACAGGUUAAUAUUCCUGUACUUGGUGUUACUGCGAAGGGGGGACGGAGAAGGCUAUGUUGGCCGGGCGACGGUUGUCCCGGUUUAAGCGUGUAGGCUGGUUUUCCAGGCAAAUCCGGAAAAUCAAGGCUGAGGCGUGAUGACGAGGCACUACGGUGCUGAAGCGACAAAUGCCCUGCUUCCAGGAAAAGCCUCUAAGCAUCAGGUAACAUCAAAUCGUACCCCAAACCGACACAGGUGGUCAGGUAGAGAAUACCAAGGCGCUUGAGAGAACUCGGGUGAAGGAACUAGGCAAAAUGGUGCCGUAACUUCGGGAGAAGGCACGCUGAUAUGUAGGUGAAGCGACUUGCUCGUGGAGCUGAAAUCAGUCGAAGAUACCAGCUGGCUGCAACUGUUUAUUAAAAACACAGCACUGUGCAAACACGAAAGUGGACGUAUACGGUGUGACGCCUGCCCGGUGCCGGAAGGUUAAUUGAUGGGGUUAGCGGUAACGCGAAGCUCUUGAUCGAAGCCCCGGUAAACGGCGGCCGUAACUAUAACGGUCCUAAGGUAGCGAAAUUCCUUGUCGGGUAAGUUCCGACCUGCACGAAUGGCGUAAUGAUGGCCAGGCUGUCUCCACCCGAGACUCAGUGAAAUUGAACUCGCUGUGAAGAUGCAGUGUACCCGCGGCAAGACGGAAAGACCCCGUGAACCUUUACUAUAGCUUGACACUGAACAUUGAGCCUUGAUGUGUAGGAUAGGUGGGAGGCUUUGAAGUGUGGACGCCAGUCUGCAUGGAGCCGACCUUGAAAUACCACCCUUUAAUGUUUGAUGUUCUAACGUGGGCCCCUUACCGGGGUUGCGGACAGUGUCUGGUGGGUAGUUUGACUGGGGCGGUCUCCUCCUAAAGAGUAACGGAGGAGCACGAAGGUUGGCUAAUCCUGGUCGGACAUCAGGAGGUUAGUGCAAUGGCAUAAGCCAGCUUGACUGCGAGCGUGACGGCGCGAGCAGGUGCGAAAGCAGGUCAUAGUGAUCCGGUGGUUCUGAAUGGAAGGGCCAUCGCUCAACGGAUAAAAGGUACUCCGGGGAUAACAGGCUGAUACCGCCCAAGAGUUCAUAUCGACGGCGGUGUUUGGCACCUCGAUGUCGGCUCAUCACAUCCUGGGGCUGAAGUAGGUCCCAAGGGUAUGGCUGUUCGCCAUUUAAAGUGGUACGCGAGCUGGGUUUAGAACGUCGUGAGACAGUUCGGUCCCUAUCUGCCGUGGGCGCUGGAGAACUGAGGGGGGCUGCUCCUAGUACGAGAGGACCGGAGUGGACGCAUCACUGGUGUUCGGGUUGUCAUGCCAAUGGCACUGCCCGGUAGCUAAAUGCGGAAGAGAUAAGUGCUGAAAGCAUCUAAGCACGAAACUUGCCCCGAGAUGAGUUCUCCCUGACUCCUUGA
RNAcentral lists this ribosomal RNA (2655 nucleotides) under human gut metagenome. RNAcentral describes it as "bacterial LSU rRNA". It matches the Rfam family "Bacterial large subunit ribosomal RNA". The record is from RNAcentral.